Molecule: transfer RNA, 74 nt
Filed under: Culex quinquefasciatus (southern house mosquito)
Lineage: Eukaryota; Metazoa; Arthropoda; Insecta; Diptera; Culicidae
Description: tRNA-Thr
Source: RNAcentral
GCAGUGCGUGGCCAAAUGGUUACGCUGUCCGCUUUGUAAGCGGAUGAUUCUGGGUUGAAUUCCCAUCUGCUGCA